This 1646-nucleotide long non-coding RNA is filed under the name Nicotiana benthamiana. Its description in RNAcentral is "long non-coding RNA (NBEN_LNC039274)". The record is from RNAcentral. Lineage: Eukaryota; Viridiplantae; Streptophyta; Magnoliopsida; Solanales; Solanaceae.
UUCAGCUAAACUUCCCCAUUUUCAAAUGAGCUGCGAACUCGUUUCACUUUCUCUUUUUCCGGCGAAAUCGAUGUAAGUUCCCUUCUUCCUUUCUUUCUCUUCCUUCAGCUAGAUUUUUUCUUUCAACUCAGUCAGCUAGAUUUCCUCUAGAGAUAAAAGCCCUAGUCCAUUUUUUGAAUGAUUUGAUUUUGCUUGUUAAUGAAGAAGUGCAUUGGCAAAAUUAUGGAAUUUAACUUAAUUGUUAAUUUCAUGACUGCUAAUUUCAUCAAUUAUCCGAUCUCAUUUCUCGAUAUCGACUACAUUUCUUUGUUCUUUCAAUGAAGAAUCGUCGAGAUAAUUUUGGAGAGAAUUUACUCAGUUCUCUUUAACUCACAAGUAUGAGAAGUGAUUUUUUUUUUUUUUUUGUAAAUCUAAAACUCUGAGCGUACAGCAAUUUCUAUUUUCUUCAGCCUUGGGAUUCUGCUGUUUCCAUUUUGUUUAGUUUUAACUAAGAGUAGUUCUGUUCUGCUUCUAGGCGGUCAGAAUUGCAACUUCUGUAACCAUUUUAGCCAUAUUUUUGCUCUACAUUGAUCCGUAGGUUGUUCCGAUGAAAGUGUUAAUUCUUUUAUGAAACAGUGAUUCAUAAUUUGAUGUUUUCUAUUUUUAUUUUUACAGGUAAAUUCAGAGCUAAACUCUGAAUGUUUCUACAAUAUCUGAUAUAAUUGUGUUUGUUUGUUUGUUUGUUUCAUUGGCAUAUUAACUAGUUUGCAUAACUUAUCAAAUAUAUAUCAUUUUGCUAGUUGGAUGUGUGGCAGUGUUUUCAAAAAAUUUAAAUAGCUACCAAGUGGCAGAGGAGACAUAACACUUGUCUCAAGCAAUUGUCAUUAUUGAGCUUAUAAAUAGGCCUUUAAUUUCUCCAGAUGAAACACCAACAAAAUCUAAUCAUUAGCUUAAAUCACUAUUUGCUCUCUUUCUUUUAUUCCAAUGUUCUUCUUAUGUCUCUAUUCUUUUUCUAUCUUCAACGGAUUCUUUAUUUGUUUCUUUUAACAACUUGGUAUAUUAAUUUUGUUGAUUCCUGUAUCUUCUAAAUAAAUCUAGAUGUGCUUGUUUAAUCCUGGGGAAACAUUUCACAUUGCUGAAAUUGUUUCUUAGGACAGUGCCCAACACGAUUCAAGCCAAUUCGUGUAGCUGCUUACAAAUAAUAUUAUUGCAGUAUUAUUAUCGUUUUUUUUAUGUCAUUUCCCUAUAGGAUGUCAUUGAUAUAAUUUGGAGGAAAGGAUCUCCCAUGACUAUUUACAAUUUGAAUAGAAGAAAAUGAUCCUCGUCUCUUUUGGGUGGGCGGGAAUAGCUCUUCUAGCAUCAGCAUGGAUUGAGCGGAGAUCGGGAGUAGUCGUCAUCUUUUUCUAUAGUAGUCAUCCAGCAAGAAAGGGAAAGACCACUUAGCCCAGUGGAAUAGGAAAGAGAGGGUCGAGCACAACUUUCGUGUCACCAGAAAUCUUUUUUCGUUUAUUGCGAGACCGAAUGAAAAUGGCUUCUCUUUGAUCAUUCAUGUGUUUCAGUGCUUGCCCUUUCUUUUAAGAAUAAAGAUCUUCAUCGAUCUCCACUGUAAAAAAUCAUUCUAUCCAUGAUAUGUGCGCUUUGGUUGUACUAGCAUGAUUUUCAGGUAU